CCUACGGGAGGCAGCAGUGGGGAAUAUUGCACAAUGGGGGAAACCCUGAUGCAGCGACGCCGCGUGAGUGAAGAAGUAUCUCGGUACGUAAAGCUCUAUCAGCAGGGAAGAAAAUGACGGUACCUGACUAAGAAGCUCCGGCUAACUACGUGCCAGCAGCCGCGGUAAUACGUCGGGGGCAAGCGUUAUCCGGAUUUACUGGGUGUAAAGGGAGCGUAGACGGCAGUACAAGUCUGGAGUGAAAGCCCGGGGCUUAACCCCGGAACUGCUUUGGAAACUGUGCGGCUGGAGUGCAGGAGGGGUAGGCGGAAUGCCUGGUGUAGCGGUGAAAUGCGUAGAUAUUAGGAGGAACACCGGUGGCGAAGGCGGCUUACUGGACUGUAACUGACGUUGAGGCUCGAAAGCGUGGGGAGCAAACAGGAUUAGAUACCCGGGUAGUC
Molecule: ribosomal RNA, 440 nt
Filed under: uncultured bacterium
Lineage: Bacteria
Description: partial 16S ribosomal RNA
Rfam family: Bacterial small subunit ribosomal RNA
Source: RNAcentral